ACUGUAAAUCUGCCUUAGUUUUUGGAGAUACUGCUAUCAAGAUCCUAUUGAUGUUAACCAAAGCAAGAAAUGAUGUAUCAGCAAGGGGGCUGAAGAUGGAACAAAGGAAGUAUGAUAAAACGUCCUGAAAAUAAAGACGGUAGUGAUGAUUCAACAGGGAGAGACAAUCUGUGUAGAUACCAGGUGAUAUCACUAAAUAAAAGGCUGAAGAAGCAUUAGCAAGAUAGAAAAGGACCUGCAAACAUUAAAAUUCAAGGUAAGAUAAAAGAAGUCCUAAAAAUUCUUCAAAUAAAUAGAACUGUCUUCAUAAUUGUUUAAUGUUUUAUGAAUUGCCUUUAAGUGGGAUACGUGGUAUUUAGAUAAGAAACUAAAAUGUUAAGUUACUUUCCUACUAGAAUAAAAAAAUGAG
RNAcentral lists this long non-coding RNA (409 nucleotides) under Fukomys damarensis (Damara mole-rat). Its description in RNAcentral is "lncRNA (ENSFDAG00000029120.1)". Lineage: Eukaryota; Metazoa; Chordata; Mammalia; Rodentia; Bathyergidae. The record is from RNAcentral.